This 239-nucleotide long non-coding RNA is filed under the name Olea europaea (common olive). RNAcentral's name for it is "long non-coding RNA (OEUR_LNC000159)". The record is from RNAcentral. Lineage: Eukaryota; Viridiplantae; Streptophyta; Magnoliopsida; Lamiales; Oleaceae.
UUCUUUUGACGAGUCAUUUUUCAUUAGCCCCCUUCAAUUCUAGUCAUGCUAUCCAUCCCCUUUUUGAACAGCUCUGGCCGUCAGUGAAGCGCAGAUUGUUUGCGACUGAUGCCAAUCGUGCCUUUUAUUCACUGGACCAGCCGAGCAUUUCUUCUCCUCCUCCUGUUUUAGUCACUCCUUUGUCCAUCCGGAGUCCUUCUCCUCUUCGUCGCGCUAAACAGUCUGCUCGUCCAUUUUCU